Molecule: long non-coding RNA, 697 nt
Filed under: Equus caballus (horse)
Lineage: Eukaryota; Metazoa; Chordata; Mammalia; Perissodactyla; Equidae
Description: lncRNA (ENSECAG00000043484.2)
Source: RNAcentral
CUCUGUGCUAGUCGUUGGUCAUAUCACAGUGAACCAAAAAGAUUAAAAUGUGUGAUCUGUGUGCUUGUGGAGCUUACAUUCUAGUGGGGAGCAGAAAGAGAGACAAUAAACAAAAAUCAGAGCAUGUACUAUGCUAAAUGAGAUUUUGUGCUAUAGAGAAAAAUAAAAGAGGAAUUGCAGUUUUAUACAGUGUGGUCAGAAAAAUCCUUCUUGAGAUGAUCAUUUCUGAGCAAAGGCCAGAAGGAGAUUAGGGAAAGAGCCAUGCAGCUAUCUUGGGGAAGAGCUGUGCAGGCAGAGAAAAGAGCAGGUGCAAAGGCUCUGAGUCAGGAAGGUGUCUGGCACAGUGAAGGAAGGUCAGAUGACUACAGUAGACUGAACGAGGGGAGAGGAACCAACCAGAACUGCUCCGGCAUGAAUGUGCAUAAAUGUGCAUGAAUGUUCAAAAGGCAACCACAGAAGCUAGAAGACCAGGAGUUUGCAAUAAUCCCGAUGACAGGCUACACAACGUUCCUGAGAGUAUUUAUUCUGAGACAAAAAUGCCAGUCACAUCUUUAAGACCUUACUUAACAAGGAACUAACGAGAAAACAAGUUGGAAGGUGAAGCUACAUAUUUUUUCAAAUAAACGGUCUUAAUUUUUCUCCUUAUAGAAGGUUAAAUCAAUUUAGAUAAACAUAUCUAAAGCAUUAAUUUUUGCAG